RNAcentral lists this long non-coding RNA (2317 nucleotides) under Bos grunniens (domestic yak). RNAcentral's name for it is "lncRNA (ENSBGRG00000024587.1)". The record is from RNAcentral. Lineage: Eukaryota; Metazoa; Chordata; Mammalia; Artiodactyla; Bovidae.
GAAGUUUCUGUCGGGCCCCUCGCGGGUCGCGUCCAGACCGGCAGGCUCCGGGCCGCGCAGCAGGAGCCGGUCGGCGCCCAGGGCCCGCACGGUGAUCUGCGCCGUGGACGUGUAAUGCGGCGGCAGCGGCGGCUUGCAGGACCCGCCGGGCGGCCCGGCGGCGGCGGCUGAGGCGGGGCGGCGGCCCCGGACACCAUCUCGAAGCAGGAGGAGAAGGCGGGCAUCUUGGCGGCGGGAGCGGCGGCGGCUUCGCGGGGCUCGGCGGCCGCGGCCGGCUGGCACUCACCGGUCUCGGGUUCCGGGCGCCACCGGCGGGUCCGGGGCUGCAGAGACCUUGAACGAGGUGGCGGUGGCGGCGGCGGGCGGAGCGGCGGUUGCGGCCGUGGGACCCUGGCCCCGGCUGGUGGUGGGUGCAGACGCUGCUGUAGAGCUGCAUGUCCCUGCCCGCCGCUCGGCCCCUUAUAGGCGCGCCGAGCCCCGGUGAGGGACACACCCUCCGGGCCCGGGGAAGGGGCCGGCCGAGCGCGGUGACCCAGUGCCCCGAGAAUAGAAAUGACCGAAGGGCCGCCGGCGCGUCAGGAGCUGCAAAUAGCGCCCGGGUCCCCGCCAAAUUCCUGCUGCGCCACAGCGCGCGGUGGGGCGGGAAGGGACGCGCGCUCGACCUGCCGGCGCUAGCGGCCCGCAGACCCGGACGCGUGCGCCCGCCGCCACUGCUCCGGCCCGCGGCGGCCGCUGAGGACUCACGGAGGUAGCCGCCCGCCCUGCUGGAGCGCGUCCCGCCGGCUAGCAGCACUGCAGGGCGCGCGGACGAGCCAGGAGGCGGGGCCGCGGUUGUUUACCUCAGGCAGCGCUGCCGCGUCACGUGCCUUCAUUGGAAUGUGCGGCUCGUCGCGGCGUCCCAUUCAACCGCCGGGCUCGCCCCACCCUCCGGCUCGCCCCGCCCCGUUCGGUGACGUCAUGGGCGUGGCCCGCAGCGCGGGCGACGGGCGCGCGGGCGGGAGAGCGCGGAGGCGCGGAGGCCUGUGUAGCCGUAGCCGCUGCCCCACCUCAGUGUUAGUUUCUAGGCGCCGCGGUUUUCUGCGCUUCAGCAGUGGAUCUUGGUGGGUUCAGGGCAGCUUGGGGCGGACAAGAAUGCUGAAGGUCUGGAAAAUCUUGCUGGAAGAGAUGGUACUUCAGGAAACUCAAAGCAGGAUGAUUGCCAGCCUUGGAAUGGGAUUGUUUCUGCCCUGGAGUGUAAGAAAAGGCAAGACCUUCCCUGUGACAGCAAAGAGAUUAGGGUAGGGAAGUGUGUGUGUUUGGGGGUGUGCAAAUUCAGUUCCUUGAUGUGCCAUCUGAAAAGAAUUCCUAAUGAUUGUCUUCUGGAAAAAUCAUCUGUUGAGCAUAUUUUGGUGCUGUGCAGAAGACUGGCUGAAGUAUAAACCAAAAUUGCAUAGUUAUUGAACAGGCUAGAAAAGCAGGAAAUUUCAGCAACUGUCCUUCAAAAGUUAGCAACAAGACAAUCAAUAGGUUAAAACAAAACCAAAAGGACAAGGCAUUUAAUCAAUGAAUAUUUAUUGAGCACCAGCUCUGCUCCCAGCAUGGUGCCAAUUACAGGGAUUUCAGACACAGAUUCUGUCCUGCGGCACAGGCCACAGAAACCUAACCCCAAAGGCAUCUUUCACAAAUAGGACCCAAGCUCAGCAAGUUUUUGAAAAUAUAUAUCCCUAGAUACCCCAUCUUGUAGCUGAUUCCUUUAAAGACAAAAAUUCCCAACCUCUUCCCUCCCACCAAAUUAAAACUUUUAAACAUGCAAACAUUCAUCCAUUUAUUCACUCAUCAAAUUAUUAUUUCUUUACAAACCUAAUAUCAAAAAUGCACUUCAAAAAAUAAAGUUGAAGGACUCAUUCUUCUCAAUUCCAAAACUUACCACAAUGCUACAGUCAUCAAAACCAUUUGGUACAGGCGUAAAGAUAAACAUACAGAUGGGUGAACUAGAACCGACAGUGCAGAAAUAAGGUCAGAUGCAUGCAUGUGCACGUAAAGUCGCUUCAGUCAUGUCCGACCCUUUGUGACCCUAUGAGCUUUAGCUUGCCAGGUUCCUCUGUCCAUUUGAUUCUCUAGGCAAGAUUACUGGAGUGGGUUGCCGUUUCCUCCUCAAGGGAUCUACCCAACCCAGGGACUGAACCCACGUUUCUUAUGUCUCCUUCAUUGGCAGGCGGGUUUUUUUUUUUUUUUUUUUUUACUAAUAGUGCCACCUGCUGCUGCUACUGCUGCUAAGUCGCUCAGUCAUGUCCGACUCUGUGCGACCCCACAGACGGCAGCCCACCAGGCUCCCCGU